This 151-nucleotide non-coding RNA is filed under the name Lepisosteus oculatus (spotted gar). Its description in RNAcentral is "Eukaryotic large subunit ribosomal RNA". It matches the Rfam family "Eukaryotic large subunit ribosomal RNA", at positions 3009 to 3159 of the family's 3401-position model. The record is from Rfam by way of RNAcentral. Lineage: Eukaryota; Metazoa; Chordata; Actinopteri; Semionotiformes; Lepisosteidae.
UAUUACAAUAAUAAUCCUGCUAAGUAAGAGAGGAACUGCAGAUUUAGGCGUUUGGCACCUGUGACUAGCUGAGGAGUCAAUGGUGUGAAGCUGCAACCUGUGGGAUUAUCAUUGAAUGCCUCUGUGCCAGAAUACCCCUUGAAUGGUGAUA